This 230-nucleotide ribosomal RNA is filed under the name uncultured bacterium. RNAcentral describes it as "partial 16S ribosomal RNA". It matches the Rfam family "Bacterial small subunit ribosomal RNA", at positions 562 to 791 of the family's 1533-position model. The record is from RNAcentral.
AAAGGGUGCGCAGGCGGAUAUGUAAGUCAGUGGUGAAAUCUUUAGGCUUAACCUGAAAAUUGCCGUUGAUACUAUAUAUCUUGAAUGUUGUGGAGGUAAGCGGAAUAUGUCAUGUAGCGGUGAAAUGCUUAGAGAUGACAUAGAACACCUAUUGCGAAGGCAGCUUACUACGCAGAUAUUGACGCUCAUGCACGAAAGCGUGGGGAUCAAACAGGAUUAGAUACCCGUGU